AAGGUAGCCGUACGAGAACGUGCGGCUGGAUCACCUCCUUUUUAAGGAGUAAACAUGCGCUUUAAGUUUGCUUAAAACGAGAUGUUAAUGGUCGACUUUGGAUUAUAAUGUUUGAAUCAGAUUCAGCGGGGCGUUUGUUUGUGUGUUGUUGAAGCUAUUUUAUGGGAAGGUGCGAGUUGUAUAAACGGGCCUAUAGCUCAGUUAGUCAGAGCGCACCCCUGAUAAGGGUGAGGUCUGUGGUGCAACUCCACAUAGGCCCACCAACCGGUAUAUGGUGUAGCCGUAAUUGGUAAAAGAGAG
Molecule: transfer RNA, 300 nt
Filed under: uncultured Candidatus Endomicrobium sp.
Lineage: Bacteria; Pseudomonadati; Elusimicrobiota; Endomicrobiia; Endomicrobiales; Endomicrobiaceae
Description: partial contains 16S ribosomal RNA and 16S-23S ribosomal RNA intergenic spacer
Source: RNAcentral